This 234-nucleotide ribosomal RNA is filed under the name Schmidingerella taraikaensis. RNAcentral describes it as "partial Bacterial small subunit ribosomal RNA". It matches the Rfam family "Bacterial small subunit ribosomal RNA", at positions 1 to 267 of the family's 1533-position model. Lineage: Eukaryota; Ciliophora; Spirotrichea; Tintinnida; Rhabdonellidae. The record is from RNAcentral.
CUGAGAGUUUGAUCCUGGCUCAGAACGAACGCUGGCGGCAUGCCUAACACAUGCAAGUCGAACGAACCCUUCGGGGUUAGUGGCGCACGGGUGCGUAACGCGUGGGAACCUGCCUUUAGGUUCGGAAUAACAGUGAGAAAUUACUGCUAAUACCGGAUAAUGUCUUCGGACCAAAGAUUUAUCGCCUUUAGAUGGGCCCGCGUUGGAUUAGCUAGUUGGUGGGGUAAAGGCCUA